RNAcentral lists this ribosomal RNA (253 nucleotides) under uncultured bacterium. RNAcentral's name for it is "partial 16S ribosomal RNA". It matches the Rfam family "Bacterial small subunit ribosomal RNA", at positions 524 to 776 of the family's 1533-position model. The record is from RNAcentral.
UACAGAGGUCUCAAGCGUUGUUCGGAUUCAUUGGGCGUAAAGGGUGCGUAGGUGGCGCGCUAAGUCAGGUGUGAAAUCUCGGGGCUUAACUCCGAAACUGCAUUUGAUACUGGCGUGCUUGAGGACUGGAGAGGAGACUGGAAUUCAUGGUGUAGCAGUGAAAUGCGUAGAGAUCAUGAGGAAGACCAGUGGCGAAGGCGGGUCUCUGGACAGUUCCUGAUACUGAGGCACGAAGGCCAGGGGAGCAAACGGG